Molecule: ribosomal RNA, 252 nt
Filed under: uncultured bacterium
Lineage: Bacteria
Description: partial 16S ribosomal RNA
Rfam family: Bacterial small subunit ribosomal RNA
Source: RNAcentral
UAACCUACGGGACGCCGCAGUAUUUAAUCUUCCACAAUUGACGAAAGUCUGAUGGAGCAACGCCGCGUGAGUGAAGAAGGGUUUCGGCUCGUAAAGCUCUGUUGGUAGUGAAGAAAGAUAGAGGUAGUAACUGGCCUUUAUUUGACGGUAAUUGCUUAGAAAGUCACGGCUAACUACGUGCCAGCAGCCGCGGUAAUACGUAGGUGGCCAGCGUUGUCCGGAUUUAUUGGGCGUAAAGCGAGUGCAGGCGGU